UUGAUGAAUUCAUAGUCAAACGAGGCGAACCGGGGGAACUGAAACAUCUCAGUACCCCGAGGAAAAGAAAUCAACCGAGAUUCCCCCAGUAGCGGCGAGCGAACGGGGAGCAGCCCAGAGUCAGCAUCAAUAUUUACCGCAGGAGAAGGGUCUGGAAAGGCCGGCAAUAAGGGGUGAUAGCCCCGUAUCUGAAGCGGUAAGUGUUGUGAACUCAAAGAGUAGGGCGGGACGCGUGUUAUCCUGUCUGAAUAUGGGGGGACCAUCCUCCAAGGCUAAAUACUCCUGACUGACCGAUAGUGAACCAGUACCGUGAGGGAAAGGCGAAAAGAACCCCGGCGAGGGGAGUGAAAUAGAACCUGAAACCGUGUACGUACAAGCAGUGGGAGCACCCGAAAGGGUGUAACUGCGUACCUUUUGUAUAAUGGGUCAGCGACUUAUAUUCUGUAGCAAGGUUAACCGCAUAGGGGAGCCGUAGGGAAACCGAGUCUUAACUGGGCGUUAAGUUGCAGGGUAUAGACCCGAAACCCGGCGACCUACCCAUGGGCAGGUUGAAGGUUGGGUAACACUAACUGGAGGACCA
RNAcentral lists this ribosomal RNA (580 nucleotides) under uncultured Arsenophonus sp. RNAcentral describes it as "bacterial LSU rRNA". It matches the Rfam family "Bacterial large subunit ribosomal RNA", at positions 155 to 776 of the family's 2925-position model. The record is from RNAcentral. Lineage: Bacteria; Pseudomonadati; Pseudomonadota; Gammaproteobacteria; Enterobacterales; Morganellaceae.